RNAcentral lists this ribosomal RNA (253 nucleotides) under uncultured bacterium. Its description in RNAcentral is "partial 16S ribosomal RNA". It matches the Rfam family "Bacterial small subunit ribosomal RNA", at positions 524 to 776 of the family's 1533-position model. The record is from RNAcentral.
UACAGAGGGUGCGAGCGUUAAUCGGAAUUACUGGGCGUAAAGCGCGCGUAGGUGGCUAUGCAAGUCGGAUGUGAAAUCCCCGGGCUCAACCUGGGAACUGCAUUCGAGACUGCAUUGCUCGAGUAUGGGAGAGGGAAGUGGAAUUUCCGGUGUAGCGGUGAAAUGCGUAGAUAUCGGAAGGAACAUCAGUGGCGAAGGCGGUUGCCUGGAGCUUUGCUGACGCUGAUGCGCGAAAGCGUGGGGAGCGAUCCGG